AUGCGUUCAGCUCGCCACCUCCACGACGCGGUCUCGGCCCUCCUCCUCUUCCUGCUGCUCUCAGCCGUCGUUCCGGCGGCCAGAGCCCAGCAAGAAACUGACGAUGAGUCGGAGUUCAGCUACGUCUGCGGGGCGGAGAACGGGCCAGAGAACUGGGGAAAUAUCAAGGAAGAGUGGGCGACGUGUGGCACUGGGCUGAUGCAGUCGCCCAUCGACCUCUCCGACCGCCUUGCCUCGCAGACGCCCCACCUCGGCUACCUCAACCACUCCUACCGUCCCGCCGAGGCCUCCAUCGUCAACCGCGGCCAUGACAUCACGGUAAUGUUCCACGGCGACGCCGGGAGCAUGUGGAUCAACGGUACGGCGUAUCACCUCAGGCAGCUGCACUGGCACACCCCCAGCGAGCACCGCGUAAACGGCCGCCGGUACAACCUGGAGCUCCACAUGGUUCACCUUAGCUCUGAGAACAAGGCUGCCGUGAUCGGCCUCCUCUACAAGAUUGGCAGGCCCAACCAUUUCCUGCAUGAGCUGGAGUCUUACUUGCAGAGGAUGGCCAGCACGAAUGAGAAGGAGGAGAACGUCGGCGUGGUUGAUCCCUGGGUCGCGAGGGGCGAUGGCGAAGCCUACUACCGAUACAUGGGCUCCCUCACCACGCCGGGGUGCGACGAGGGUGUCAUCUGGACCGUCAUCAAGAGGGUUGCCACCGUGUCGAGUGAGCAGCUGAAGCUUCUCGCGGACGCCGUCCAUGAUGGCUUUGAUAUGAACGCGAGACCCCUUCAGAAGGUGAACUACAGAGAUAUCAGUUUUUUCAGCCCUGAUGAUCACCAUGAACGUUAUUAUGCAGCCGCUGAUCAUUAA
This 858-nucleotide ribosomal RNA is filed under the name Triticum aestivum (bread wheat). RNAcentral's name for it is "partial small subunit ribosomal RNA". The record is from RNAcentral. Lineage: Eukaryota; Viridiplantae; Streptophyta; Magnoliopsida; Poales; Poaceae.